Molecule: ribosomal RNA, 830 nt
Filed under: uncultured organism
Description: SSU rRNA
Rfam family: Bacterial small subunit ribosomal RNA
Source: RNAcentral
AUUGCAGUUGAUACUGUCAGUCUUGAGUACAGUAGAGUGGGGCGGAAUUCGUGGUGUAGCGGUGAAAUGCUUAGAUAUCACGAAGAACUCCGAUUGCGAAGGCAGCUCACUGGACUGCAACUGACACUGAUGCUCGAAAGUGUGGGUAUCAAACAGGAUUAGAUACCCUGGUAGUCCACACAGUAAACGAUGAAUACUCGCUGUUUGCGAUAUACAGUAAGCGGCCAAGCGAAAGCAUUAAGUAUUCCACCUGGGGAGUACGCCGGCAACGGUGAAACUCAAAGGAAUUGACGGGGGCCCGCACAAGCGGAGGAACAUGUGGUUUAAUUCGAUGAUACGCGAGGAACCUUACCCGGGCUUAAAUUGCAGUGGAAUGAUGUGGAAACAUGUCAGUGAGCAAUCACCGCUGUGAAGGUGCUGCAUGGUUGUCGUCAGCUCGUGCCGUGAGGUGUCGGCUUAAGUGCCAUAACGAGCGCAACCCUUAUCUUCAGCUACUAACAGGUCAUGCUGAGGACUCUGGAGAGACUGCCGUCGUAAGAUGUGAGGAAGGUGGGGAUGACGUCAAAUCAGCACGGCCCUUACGUCCGGGGCUACACACGUGUUACAAUGGGGGGUACAGAAGGCAGCUAGCGGGUGACCGUAUGCUAAUCCCAAAAGCCUCUCUCAGUUCGGAUCGAAGUCUGCAACCCGACUUCGUGAAGCUGGAUUCGCUAGUAAUCGCGCAUCAGCCACGGCGCGGUGAAUACGUUCCCGGGCCUUGUACACACCGCCCGUCAAGCCAUGGGAGCCGGGGGUACAAGAAGUACGUAACCGCAAGGAUCGUCCUAGGG